CAGCCGCCGCGGUAAUACGGAGGGUGCAAGCGUUAAUCGGAAUUACUGGGCGUAAAGCGCACGCAGGCGGUCUGUCAAGUCAGAUGUGAAAUCCCCGGGCUUAACCUGGGAACUGCAUUUGAAACUGGCAGGCUAGAGUCUUGUAGAGGAUGGUAGAAUUCCAGGUGUAGCGGUGAAAUGCGUAGAGAUCUGGAGGAAUACCGAUGGCGAAGGCAGCCAUCUGGCCUAAUACUGACGCUGAGGUACGAAAGCAUGGGGAGCAAACAGGAUUAGAUACCCCGGUAGUCCCUGUCUCUUAUAC
Molecule: ribosomal RNA, 301 nt
Filed under: uncultured bacterium
Lineage: Bacteria
Description: partial 16S ribosomal RNA
Rfam family: Bacterial small subunit ribosomal RNA
Source: RNAcentral